RNAcentral lists this ribosomal RNA (327 nucleotides) under uncultured eukaryote. RNAcentral describes it as "partial 18S ribosomal RNA". It matches the Rfam family "Eukaryotic small subunit ribosomal RNA", at positions 1470 to 1796 of the family's 1831-position model. The record is from RNAcentral.
CCCUUAGAUGUUCUGGGCCGCACACGCGCUACACUGAAGGAGGCAGCGUGUACUCCUGGAUCGAAAGAUUUGGGUAACCCGCGAAUCUCCUUCGUGCUAGGGAUUGAGGUUUGCAAUUAUCCUUCAUGAACGGGGAAUUCCCAGUAAGUGCAAGUCAUAAGCUUGCGCUGACUACGUCCCUGCCCUUUGUACACACCGCCCGUCGCUACUACCGAUUGAAUGAUUUAGUGAGGACUUCGGACUGGGACCGAUGCGGCUUUCGGGCUGCGUCGGUAUUCUGGAAAGAUGUCCAAACUGUNUNAUUUAUNGGAAGUAAAANUCGUANCA